This 253-nucleotide ribosomal RNA is filed under the name uncultured bacterium. Its description in RNAcentral is "partial 16S ribosomal RNA". It matches the Rfam family "Bacterial small subunit ribosomal RNA", at positions 524 to 776 of the family's 1533-position model. The record is from RNAcentral.
UACGUAGGGGGCUAGCGUUGCUCGGAAUCACUGGGCGUAAAGCGCACGUAGGCGGAUUGUUAAGUCAGGGGUGAAAUCCUGGAGCUCAACUCCAGAGCUGCCUUUGAUACUGGCAAUCUCGAGUUCGGGAGAGGUGAGUGGAACUGCGAGUGUAGAGGUGAAAUUCGUAGAUAUUCGCAAGAACACCAGUGGCGAAGGCGGCUCACUGGCCCGGUACUGACGCUGAGGUGCGAAAGCGUGGGGAGCAAACAGG